Molecule: long non-coding RNA, 907 nt
Organism: Paramisgurnus dabryanus
Lineage: Eukaryota; Metazoa; Chordata; Actinopteri; Cypriniformes; Cobitidae
Source: RefSeq, a predicted model, not a curated record
AAAAGAGACAAGCAUAGGUCCCUCACAAGAUGCCACCCGCUUCAUACAAGUGUCUGGCAGCACUGUGUUACUGUUAAAGCCACCAGCACGAGCACCUGACGAUGCUGAUCCAGUGAGUACUCCAUCAAAGGCAUACUGUAGGCCUGGCAUGUCUUGUCUACUAGCUUCAAUAUGAAUCCGAUUAAAUGUGAUGGGGUCAAGGCCCCAUUUCAUCAGCACAUAACGGCGAUGAUGAGGAGACCAUCUCUCUGGAUUCCAAAAGGCAUAAGGUAUCAUGUCAAACUUGUGAAAGUACUAUACAAAGGAGUCAUCAUUGGGAGCCAUCACAAAAUCUCAUUUCUUUUACAGGACCCAGAGUCAUUGGUGCACUGGACUGCACAAACAUAAGGAUAAAAGCCCCCUCAGGUGCCCAUGAGGCAGAUUUUGUAAAUAUGAAAUCUUUUUACAGCAUUAAUGUUCAGGUGAACAUAACUUUUUGAUCUUUUCCAUUGAACACUGGCAAAAUGGCCUGGCUCAGUCCAUGACUCCAGAAUCUUUUGGACCUCUGAAAUCUAUCAGCGCCUAUCACAAGGUGAAUUCUCUGGUGUGUUGCUGGUAGACAGGGGGUAAGGCUGCCAGACGUUUUUCCUGACACCUUUCACAGACCCCCAGGAAGCACAGCAGGCCUACAACUAUGCCCAUGCUAGGGCCAGAGUUGAAAUGACCUUUGGCCUCCUGAAGGCACGCUCUCACUGCUUUCACAAAUUAAGGGUCAGCCCUGUGAGGGCAUGUGACAUUACUGUGGCUUGUGGUGUCCUGCCUGAGGAAGGAGAGGGCACCCAGAGUGCCGCCAGCCAUGGACUGGGACAAUCCGGAAAUCUUCUCCGAUGACAACAGUGGUCGGCUGCUGAGGGACCAAUAAGUGUUG